GACGAACGCUGGCGGCGUGCUUAACACAUGCAAGUCGAACGAAGAGCGAUGGAAGCUUGCUUCUAUCAAUCUUAGUGGCGAACGGGUGAGUAACGCGUAAUCAACCUGCCCUUCAGAGGGGGACAACAGUUGGAAACGACUGCUAAUACCGCAUACGAUCUGACCUCGGCAUCGAGGAUAGAUGAAAGGUGGCCUCUAUUUAUAAGCUAUCACUGAAGGAGGGGAUUGCGUCUGAUUAGCUAGUUGGAGGGGUAACGGCCCACCAAGGCGAUGAUCAGUAGCCGGUCUGAGAGGAUGAACGGCCACAUUGGGACUGAGACACGGCCCAGACUCCUACGGGAGGCAGCAGUGGGGAAUCUUCCGCAAUGGACGAAAGUCUGACGGAGCAACGCCGCGUGAGUGAUGACGGCCUUCGGGUUGUAAAGCUCUGUUAAUCGGGACGAAAGGCCUUCUUGCGAAUAGUUAGAAGGAUUGACG
Molecule: ribosomal RNA, 477 nt
Filed under: Veillonella dispar
Lineage: Bacteria; Bacillati; Bacillota; Negativicutes; Veillonellales; Veillonellaceae
Description: bacterial SSU rRNA
Rfam family: Bacterial small subunit ribosomal RNA
Source: RNAcentral